AGUUUUCUUCGGGGCAGGGUGAAAUUCCCUACCGGCGGUUACAGUCCGCGACUCCCUUUUUUUGAAGGGACUGAUCUGGUGAAAUUCCGGAACCGACAGUUAAAGUCUGGAUGGGAGAAGAAAAUG
Molecule: non-coding RNA, 126 nt
Filed under: Chryseobacterium gleum
Lineage: Bacteria; Pseudomonadati; Bacteroidota; Flavobacteriia; Flavobacteriales; Weeksellaceae
Description: FMN sequence
Rfam family: FMN riboswitch aptamer (RFN element)
About the family: The RFN element is a highly conserved domain that is found frequently in the 5'-untranslated regions of prokaryotic mRNAs that encode for flavin mononucleotide (FMN) biosynthesis and transport proteins.
Source: RNAcentral